UCUCCGCGACUAUCUCCCUCCUUCUCUCUGAACCCUCCUCAGACCCCGCUGCCUCAGCCAGUUGGUCCUCAUUCAUCCGCCUGGCCCCCACCCACUGUGGGUGCCACCGAGAGAGAACCCCCUCCCCGGUUCGGGAGUUACUUUUUGUCGGGAAUCAUCAGUUCUUGCUUGCCACGUGAUUCAAGACUACAAGCAAUUCCCUAGUUGAUGUGUUCUUGAAUUAUGUUUGAAAGGGGAAUAUGGACAAGUCAAGCAAUAGAUUUACAUGUGAUUAUAAUAAAUGGGCGAAUGAUGACCAGUUUGUAUUUUACCUCUUGAUUAUUAAACUUUGUUUCAUUCUAAUGAAUGUUUGAUAAUGUGAAUAUCUCAAAUGUUCUUCUUCCUAUAAGAUAAGUAUUCUGCAUACAGGAAUAGAUGCUGUGGAUAUUAUAAGUAAACAGAUGGGUAGAAUCUUUGCUUUACAUUGAUUAAAUAAAAUAGAAAGAAACAA
Ictidomys tridecemlineatus (thirteen-lined ground squirrel) is the source of this 490-nucleotide non-coding RNA. NCBI's taxonomy places the organism in Eukaryota, Metazoa, Chordata, Mammalia, Rodentia, Sciuridae. The record is from RefSeq and is a predicted model, not a curated record.